RNAcentral lists this unclassified non-coding RNA (218 nucleotides) under uncultured Tomentella. Its description in RNAcentral is "sequence contains ITS2". Lineage: Eukaryota; Fungi; Basidiomycota; Agaricomycetes; Thelephorales; Thelephoraceae. The record is from RNAcentral.
ACACCUCAACUCUCAUGGUUUGCCAUGAUGAGCUUGGACUUUGGGGGUAUUGCUGGCCUCUGGUCAGCUCCUCUCAAACGGAUCAGCUUGCCAGUGUUUGGUGGCAUCACAGGUGUGAUAACUAUCUACGCUUGUGGUUUUCUACUGGAUAACCUUCAGUGAUGGAGGUUCGCUGGAGCUCAUAAAUGUCUCUCCUUAGCGAAGACAGCUUUUCGAAC